Molecule: long non-coding RNA, 3104 nt
Organism: Aegilops tauschii subsp. strangulata
Lineage: Eukaryota; Viridiplantae; Streptophyta; Magnoliopsida; Poales; Poaceae
Source: RefSeq, a predicted model, not a curated record
CAGUUUGUGCGAGGCAACAUGGUAAGCACGAGUGGAUCAUUGGUGCAGAUCGCACCGCGCAUCUACACUACUAUUAAAAGAGCAAUCUACAUCUACAUCUACAUCUACACUACUAUUAAAAGAGCAAACAUUACUUAUCCUAAACCCACGCGGAUUAGUGUACACAGGACAAUCAGUACCCUAGGAUCUAUUCCACUUAACGACAUCUAAGGGUCAGUUUCGCCUCCAUCUACACUACUAUUAAAAGAGCAAACAUUACUUAUUCUAAACCCACGCGGAUUAGUGUACACAGGACAAUCAGUACCCUAGGAUCUAUUCCACUUAACGACAUCUAAGGGUCAGUUUCGCCUCCAUGGUCUGCCAACCAAUUGGAUGGCCCAGAUUCGAUGUUCUGCCACCGUACGUCCUGCCCCGCGCACGUCCGUCUUCAACCCAACCGCCCCUCGCAUCCCUUCAUUCUCGCAGGCACACGCGGGAGUUGUUGCCGCCGCCGAGCACGUGGGCUCCGCCGCCCUACCGCCAGACGUGGACGCACGCGGCCGUCGCCGUCGCCGCCGCCGGGCACGUGGCCUCCGUCGCCCCGCCAUCUGGCGUGGAAGCACGCAGCCGUGGUUGUCGCCGCCGCCGUCCGAUGUGGACUCUGGCCGUAGCCGCCACCGGGCACGUGGCCUCCGCCGCCCAACCUGGACACACGUGGUCGUGGCCGUUGCCGCCGCGGCGGGCCUGGCCUCCGCCGGCCUGCUGCCCGGCGUGGACGCACGCGGCCGUGGCCUCCGUCGCCCAGCCGCCGGGGACGUGUACGCACGCGGGCGUGGCCGCUGUCAGGGACAUUGGCGCACACGGUAGAGAAAAGCUCCACCGCAACCUCUGUCGUAAGAAUAAGAUUAUUUCUCCUAUCUCUAAUCUACUUGCAAUCUGACAUCCAUUGCCAAUUUGGCUUUCUGGAAAUUCGGUGGCACAUGAAUUCUAAUUCUAAUUUGAACAUGGAGCACUAUUUUUUUUUUCUUGUGAUAACCACCAAGCACGAACAUGCAGUGCAUGUAUAGCUCUUGCCGAGUGAAAUUUUUAUAUCAUAUUCCGUUGUCAAUUUACCCUUUGUUUGAGGACAAUAGGCUGUUCUCACAUUAGCAUACAUCUAAACUUCUAGAUUCAUUUUUAAUACAUGGUCGUUUGAAGCACCCAUCUUUGUACUGUUUUGUGUGUGUAUGUAUGGUUUUUUUUCCUUCUUCUGAAAGAAUCAUAUAUGCUUCGAGUUAGACUGAUGGGCAAUGCUAGAAAUCACUUGGAAGUUACAGGUGUGUUGGUGCAGAUUGCUUAAAAAAACUUUCAUGUAUCACUUUAUUGUAACUCUGACGUUUAAUUUGUGUUCAAUUAUCUGUAGUACAACCUAACUAUUUGAUCUUCGGGAUGCUAAUUUGUGCACACACAGAAUAAAAACCGGUAGCGAUGACAAUGUUUCCUGUCAAGAUCAAUACCUGCUACAUAUGCAUUGUUUCCUGUGAUGAUCAAUUCCUGCUACACCUACACUAGAUCCUGUGAUGCAUUGCGAGGCCUGGAACGACUUUAAUUUUGAAUAUAUUUUUAGUUUCGGAGCUGUUUAGUCCAGCAAUGAAACACAGGUCAUUAUCCAGUCUGCUCGCACGAUUGGCACACACAGCCACCGCCGACCAUCGUUAUCCGGCCAUAAUCCCGACGUCCUCCUCGCAUCACCCUGCUGUGUGCCCCUGGCCGAUUGCCUCGAUACGCCAUCCAAGCGCGCGUGGCCACAAAAGCUCUUCAUCAUGGUAAGGCGCAGGUACACGACGACAAGCUGCAGAACAACGAGCAGCUCGACAGUGGAGUACCGACGCGAUACUUGUCAUGGGGAAUCGGGAAGCAUAAUCAUAGCCCACUGUGUUGUAUAUUCUUUUCUCCAAUGAGGGUCAGCUGCAUGACCAAUUGAUUUCUCCCUUCUAUCUGAUUGCCAGUCUGCUGAAGACUUUCGGAUAAUUUGUAUGUCUUUUUGGACUGGUCAUUACUUUCUGAAAUUAGGUACGAUGAUUUGGAGGAAUUGAUGUGUAUGCACUGUUGUUACAUUGCAGGAUAGUGAAUUGUGAUAAUUUUACUAUUGUGUAUACUCUGUUCUACAUCAAAUUUUCCUUUAGCAUCUUAAAGAUAUUUCUCCACUUCAUUCUUGUUACUCCCUCUGUAAACUAAUAUAAGAGUGUUUAGAUCACUACUUUAGUACUCUAAACGCUCUUACAUUAGUUUACGGAGGGAGUACUUUAUUUGCAGCCUGGUUAUAUGUUGUUUGUGCUCUCUCAUUACUAUCUCAGGCCUAUUAAUCCAUAUAUUAAUUGUUCCUGAAUUUCUACAGGCUCCCCUGAUCACCAUAUUUAUUUGGAAGCUACUAGAACAAGUCAAUCUUAGUUUGGGCUAUGUUGCAGCAAUAGGCCUGUGCUUUUUAAUCGUGUUUUAGCUGUUCAUUUCAAGUGCACUAAAAAUCGACAUGUUUCAUAUUCCUCCAACGGUUUUGAGGUUCCGUACUUAACUCUUGCAUUUUGGUUACUGUAGAGGAGUAUGUUCAUAUGGUCAAGGCUGGUAUCAUCGACCCUGUAAAAGUGAUCCAAAAUGCACUUCAAGGUGCAGAAUGGUACAACUUCAGUUCUCUAACCAUGUACUUUAUGUAUGGCCAUGACAGAAGUAAUCAGACUUGUUUGACAAUUUGUGUUUCUGUACAAUGUUUAUCCAUUGAUCACAACCAUAGAGGUUGCAGAUGAACGACGGGUUUUGAGGACAGUGUGGCAUGAUGCUUGCGUGAAUUGUAUUAGGGUGCACGCAUUCUGUCCAACGGGAUUUGACUGUAAAUCUCUGUUCAUUACUUCAGGUGUGCAUUGAGCAUACAUGAUUUGCCUGAUGAUAACAAUUGAUUGGCAGGUUUGGAUUAUAUUUUUUUUUCGUGGGUCAGGUUUGGAUUAUAUCUAACUAGAAAAAGAUAACAACACGAGUGCUCAAGGUGAUGAAUAUGUUCACCUACAUUGCAACGGGCCAUAAAUAUUUUGUGUACCCACUAAUUUUUUGUUGUUGAUUCUGUUUAAGUAUAUUCUUGCUAAUUAGGAUCAAAA